GCUGCCAUCGUCUAGCGGUUUAGGACAUCGCCCUCUCAAGGCGGGGAUCACGAGUUCGAAUCUCGUUGGCAGCG
RNAcentral lists this transfer RNA (74 nucleotides) under Endomicrobiaceae bacterium. RNAcentral's name for it is "tRNA-Glu". It matches the Rfam family "tRNA". Rfam says of the family: Transfer RNA (tRNA) molecules are approximately 80 nucleotides in length. Their secondary structure includes four short double-helical elements and three loops (D, anti-codon, and T loops). RNAcentral also lists the same sequence under 2 other names. The record is from RNAcentral. Lineage: Bacteria; Pseudomonadati; Elusimicrobiota; Endomicrobiia; Endomicrobiales; Endomicrobiaceae.